This 23-nucleotide non-coding RNA is filed under the name Arabidopsis thaliana (thale cress). The record is from RNAcentral. Lineage: Eukaryota; Viridiplantae; Streptophyta; Magnoliopsida; Brassicales; Brassicaceae.
UGGUCAAAAUGUGUCAGAAUCCA